UCCGGUUGAUCCUGCCAGAGGUUACUGCUAUCGAGAUUCGACUAAGCCACGCGAGUUGAAUGUUCUUCGGAACAUGGCGGACUGCUCAGUAACACGUGGACAACCUACCCUUGGGUCCGGCAUAAUCCUGGGAAACUGGGAAUAAUUCCGGAUAGGUCACCGAUGCUGGAAUGCGCGGUGGCCGAAAGCUCCGGCGCCCGAGGAUGGGUCUGCGGCCUAUCAGGUUGUAGUGGGUGUAACGUACCUACUAGCCUACGACGGGUACGGGUUGUGAGAGCAAGAGCCCGGAGAUGGAUUCUGAGACACGAAUCCAGGCCCUACGGGGUGCAGCAGGCGCGAAAACUUUACAAUGCGGGAAACCGUGAUAAGGGGAUCUCGAGUGCCAGCAUAUAAUGUUGGCUGUCCAGAUGCCUAAAAAGCAUUGUUAGCAAGGGCCGGGCAAGACCGGUGCCAGCCGCCGCGGUAACACCGGCGGCCCGAGUGGUAACCGCUAUUAUUGGGUCUAAAGGGUCUGUAGCCGGCCAGGUAAGUCCCUUGGGAAAUCUGGCAGCUCAACUGUCAGGCUGCUAGGGGAUACUGUUUGGCUUGGGACCGGGAGAGGUGAGAGGUACCUUGGGGGUAGGGGUGAAAUCUUGUGAUCCUCGAGGGACCACCAGUGGCGAAGGCGUCUCACCAGAACGGGUCCGACGGUAAGGGACGAAAGCUAGGGGCACGAACCGGAUUAGAUACCCGGGUAGUCCUAGCCGUAAACGAUGCUCGCUAGGUGUCAGUCACGGUGCGACCGUGAUUGGUGCCGUAGGGAAACCUGAAAGAACCCCCUGGGAAUUAGGGCGCCAAGGCGAAACUUAAAGGAUGGGGGGGGAGCAUUCAAAGGGGUGGAGCGGGCGGUUUAUUGGGAUCAAGCCCGGGAAUCUUCCGGGGGGGAAAAGAAAUAUAAGUCAGGCUGAGAAUUUUACGGGAUUAGCUAAGAGGUGGGCAUGNCCGUCGUCAGUUCGUACUUGAAGCAUCUUGUUAAGUCAGGCACGAGCGAAGACCCACAUCACAGUUGCCCAGCAUAUUCUCCGGAAUGAUGGGUACACUGUGAAGACCGCCGCUGCUAAAGCGAGGNAAGGAGUGGGCAACGGUAGGUCAGUAUGCCCNGAAUCUCCCGGGCUACACGCGGGCUACAAUGGUUGGUACAAUGGGCAUCUACCCCGAAAGGGGAAGGAAAUCUCUUAAAACCAAUCGUAGUUCGGAUUGAGGGCUGCAACUCGCCCUCAUGAAGCUGGAAUCCGUAGUAAUCGCGUUUCAACAGAACGCGGUGAAUACGUCCCUGCUCCUUGCACACACCGCCCGUCAAACCACCCGAGUAGGGUCUGGAUGAGGGUGUGUUUUAUUGACACAUUCGAAUCUGGGCUUUGCAAGGGGGGUU
Molecule: ribosomal RNA, 1411 nt
Filed under: uncultured Methanosaeta sp.
Lineage: Archaea; Methanobacteriati; Methanobacteriota; Methanomicrobia; Methanotrichales; Methanotrichaceae
Description: bacterial SSU rRNA
Rfam family: Archaeal small subunit ribosomal RNA
Source: RNAcentral